Molecule: ribosomal RNA, 366 nt
Filed under: uncultured Glomeromycotina
Lineage: Eukaryota; Fungi; Glomeromycota
Description: LSU rRNA
Source: RNAcentral
UUGAAAGGGAAACGAUUGAAGUCAGUCGUGCUGGCGCGAAAUCAACCUUCUCGUCUUGAGAUCACAUGGCGUGGCGAGCCUCAAAACCGUCACGAAGCGUGAACUCUUGGUGAAAUGGAGCACUUUCGUGUCCGCUGGUUAACAUCAAUUUCGAACGUCAUAAAAAGGCUGGAGGGAUGUGGCUACUUCGGGAGUGUUAUAACCUUUAGCGGAAUGUGGUGUUCGGGAUUGAGGAUUGCAACGAAUACCUUUAGGGCUGUUCCACCUGACUUCUCUUUGGUAUCCUGGUGACGACUGGUUGCCGUUGCCGCUAGGAUUCACUAGGAGCAGUCUAGAGUCGAGCAACAGGUUAAGGAUGUUGACGUA